Molecule: ribosomal RNA, 253 nt
Filed under: uncultured bacterium
Lineage: Bacteria
Description: partial 16S ribosomal RNA
Rfam family: Bacterial small subunit ribosomal RNA
Source: RNAcentral
UACGUAGGGUGCGAGCGUUGUCCGGAAUUACUGGGCGUAAAGGGCUCGUAGGCGGUUUGUCGCGUCGGGAGUGAAAACCAGGUGCUUAACACCUGGCUUGCUUUCGAUACGGGCAGACUAGAGGUAUUCAGGGGAGAACGGAAUUCCUGGUGUAGCGGUGAAAUGCGCAGAUAUCAGGAGGAACACCGGUGGCGAAGGCGGUUCUCUGGGAAUGACCUGACGCUGAGGAGCGAAAGUGUGGGGAGCGAACAGG